This is a long non-coding RNA of Hydra vulgaris (swiftwater hydra), 3084 nucleotides long. RefSeq lists it as uncharacterized. NCBI's taxonomy places the organism in Eukaryota, Metazoa, Cnidaria, Hydrozoa, Anthoathecata, Hydridae. The record is from RefSeq and is a predicted model, not a curated record.
UAUAUGUAUAUAUACAAAUUACUAAAUUGUAAUCUAGAUAUAGAGUGGUCGAUGUUCUCAAAGAACAGAGCAUAAUUAAAUUUUUUUAUUAAUACGUAUGUAAGCAGAGUGAGAUAAGAGAUAAUAAUAUAUAUUUUAUGUUAUUAAAUAUAACUAGCUGUCAUGACCCGUAAAAUACGGGUCUUUAGGAUAUUGAUGCACACUUUAUCCGCGUGGUUACAGUUCAUAAGAACUAUUAUCCGGUUUAUAACGAAAGAAAAUCUCAAUCAAAUGAAAACAUCUAAUUGAUAGCUAUUAAUGUCCUAGAUACGAAGGUUAAACUUAUUGAUUGCGUAAACACUAACUUUAACAUAAAUGGCAUUUGCGAGACACUUCUUGCAACGAAAAAACAAAAUUUUGAAAUUUGUGAACAAUUUUUUUUCUCUCGUUAGCGAAGUUGGUUCUGUGUCAAUGCGAGGAUCAAACAUUUUUUAUUAAUAUCUUUACAUAUGUUGUCUAUAUACAAUAUCUAUAAAACUUUAUAAGUAUUUGAAUUUGUAUUUAAAAAAAUCUAAAAAAAAAGUUAAAACAGUAGUCGCCAACAGUAGGACUCGAACCACGGCAUUUAUGUUCCAAAGCCCAGCGUGCUAACCACUCGACUACUCUGACGCAUUAAGAAAUAAAGAUUCAAAAUUAUAUAAAAAUUGUUUUUAACGGAUAUAAAUGCAAAAGAUUAGAUAUUGGUAUUAUGCUAAUAUUAAAUAGUUUAACUUUUAAUUAUUUUUAGAAACAAUAAACUUUAUAAUUAAUUUAGUGUAAAUAUAAAAUUAAAAUCUUUAAUUAUGUUCUAAAUAGAAAUAUACUUUUUAAGCCCCCUUACCAUUUUUAAAAAAAGUUAUGGUCGCCGCGUGGCAAGUUCAUCAGCUUGGCACGCGGUUUUGUUCUUUAAAAUGCAAAUCAAAAGUUAUAUAGAUUUUAUAUUCUAUGUAUAAACAUGUUUUUUACUAAUUUUUCUUGCUCAAUUUUGUUGUAAAUAAACUUGAAAAGUUUAACUAAAAUAACAUGAGUAUCUCAAUAAUGACACAUGCGCAAAAAAAAUAAAAAAGAAGGUCGCCGAUGGUAGGACUUGAACCACGGCUGACUUGGUCAGAAGCCCAGCGCACUAACCACUCUACUAGGCUGUCACGUAGUGUCUUGAAGAUUUCAAAUUUUAUGAAAAUUGUUUUUUAACGGAUAAAAACACAAAAGAUUAGAAAUUUAGCAAAGGUUGACGAAAUGCAGUUCUUAAGUAAAAAUCAAACUGUUGAACUUGAUAUAAGUUACAAUAUGAGUUUCACGUUUGCUCGCGUUUUCUUAUAAAGCAAAGGUAAGACUCUUUCUCGUCACUACCUCGGAUGCAAUGGUUGCCAAGAGUAUCGUGUCAAACAGGCUCGAAAGCGCACUACUACUUCUACUAAUAAGUCCAGUAUUAUUAUAAAGAGAUACUUGUUUCCUAUUUAUAAAUGUGACGUUAAUUCAGUUAUAUAACUAAUUUCAAAAAAUUACGAGACAAUGGAGUCAUUUGAGUGUAAAGUUUGCUCAAAAAUAGCAUAUGGCAAUGAGUUUAUGCUGCGUAAGAUCUGCGAAGCAUGUCAUAAUGUUGCCUUAUUUCAACAAUACAUUAAAACAAUUAAACAACAAUUAAAACAAGAAUCUUAUCUCCUUAGAGUCACAAAUAGACAUUAAACGUUUUUUGUCCAAAAAAAUGAAACUAAAAGGUGCAAAAAAAGGAAGAGUAAUACCUAAAGACGAGCUUCUUUCUACCUCAGAAGAAAACCAGAUAGACGAUUCUGAAGAUGAUCCAGAAUUUGUGCCAGGAACACCUCAGGCUGCCAAAUUGAGAACAAAAAUAAUCAGAGAAUUACACUCAUCCGCAAAACCUUCUUUCCCAGCUAAUAAACCAACCUCUCUUUUUUCCACCCCAAUUAAAGCUAACCCUAACCCAACUAUUCCUUUUAUUACGAAAAGAAACAUUUUCAAAAAAAGUAAAGUUAAAAAAACUGUUGAAAAAAAAUUUACUUUUGGAGAAAACUAUAGAAGAUGAAAUUGCAUAUGUGGGUGAUUUAACCCGUGAUAGACUGGUUUUUGAAGAUAACCAUAGUAAUGAUAGUAAUAACUUUCCUGGAGUUGCAGUUCAAUGCAACUUCAGUGACUCAUUAGACCUAGAUAAACAUUUGGCCUCAGUUAGAUUUCUUGAGUAUCGAAAAUUGAAGAUUGAGCAAGAUCUAAAAAGCUUCAUUGGUAACAUGUUUAGAGUAAGUUUUUUUGCUUACACUUAUUUUACAGUUUGGCAAUGUUGUAAUAAUAGUUUAUAAUAAUGAUUUUUUUGUAGGUCACCGCAUAUAAAAGAUUGUCCGGGCGUAUGGAGUAUAAAAUAAGGUGCAAGGAAAUGAAUUGCUUUUCCUUCACCACUCAAUAUUCAAAACAUUUUGUAGAAAAACACCAGUUUAGCCUGGAGCAAGCUAACUACUUGCAAUCUUUUCAUAUCCGGCUACUUAAGUUUAAAACACGGCUAAUAAAGCAUACAUAUAAACCUUAUGCAUGCAGUAAAUGCAUGCUUUGGUAUGAUCGUUUGGACAAACAUUUAAUUAACGAACACAAGUUUGUAUCAGAAAGUGAGUCGUUUAAAGAAGCAAUUUUAGCGAUGAAAGCCAAAUCUUUAGAUUUGUGUUUUUAAUGGAAUAUACCGCCGAGUUUUUCGGUGAAACAAAAAAGUCAAGUGCUUCUGUGAUUAUUCCUUCGGGAACAAGGAGUUUUACGCCAGUUGAAAAAAAAAAGCACCCCAAAUGGGGGCGACUAGUUUUCAUAACGAAACAAAAAAAACAAAGUCAAGUGCUCCUGUGAGUUUUCCGUCGGGAACAAGAAGUGUUUCUUUAAAAAACUAGUCAUACUGAGAUGAAUAAGGCUGGGGGAGUGGGUUUGUUACAGCUAAAACAAAAACAAAAGGAAGACUAAAAGCAGCUUUAGCAACAGUUUAUGGUAUGAACAACAUUAUCUUUAAAUGCAGUCCCCAUUAUUUUAAUUACUGGUAAUGUAUAUUAUGCAACUGCCUGAUUAAUAAUGUUU